RNAcentral lists this ribosomal RNA (1287 nucleotides) under metagenome. RNAcentral's name for it is "bacterial SSU rRNA". It matches the Rfam family "Bacterial small subunit ribosomal RNA", at positions 242 to 1520 of the family's 1533-position model. The record is from RNAcentral.
UAGCUAGUUGGUGAGGUAAAGGCUUACCAAGGCGACGAUCUGUAGCGGGUCUGAGAGGAUGAUCCGCCACACUGGAACUGAGACACGGUCCAGACUCCUACGGGAGGCAGCAGUGGGGAAUUUUGGACAAUGGGGGCAACCCUGAUCCAGCCAUGCCGCGUGAGUGAAGAAGGCCUUCGGGUUGUAAAGCUCUUUCGGCCGGGAAGAAAUCGCAUGGGCCAAUACCCUGUGUGGAUGACGGUACCGGAAUAAGAAGCACCGGCUAACUACGUGCCAGCAGCCGCGGUAAUACGUAGGGUGCGAGCGUUAAUCGGAAUUACUGGGCGUAAAGCGUGCGCAGGCGGUUUUGUAAGACAGGCGUGAAAUCCCCGGGCUUAACCUGGGAACUGCGUUUGUGACUGCAAGGCUAGAGUACGGCAGAGGGGGGUGGAAUUCCACGUGUAGCAGUGAAAUGCGUAGAGAUGUGGAGGAACACCAAUGGCGAAGGCAGCCCCCUGGGUCGAUACUGACGCUCAUGCACGAAAGCGUGGGUAGCAAACAGGAUUAGAUACCCUGGUAGUCCACGCCCUAAACUAUGUCAACUAGGUGUUGGGUGGGUAAAACCAUUUAGUACCGUAGCUAGCGCGUGAAGUUGACCGCCUGGGGAGUACGGCCGCAAGGUUAAAACUCAAAGGAAUUGACGGGGACCCGCACAAGCGGUGGAUGAUGUGGAUUAAUUCGAUGCAACGCGAAAAACCUUACCUACCCUUGACAUGCCAGGAACUUGCCAGAGAUGGCUUGGUGCCCGAAAGGGAGCCUGGACACAGGUGCUGCAUGGCUGUCGUCAGCUCGUGUCGUGAGAUGUUGGGUUAAGUCCCGCAACGAGCGCAACCCUUGUCGUUAAUUGCCAUCAUUUAGUUGGGCACUUUAACGAGACUGCCGGUGACAAACCGGAGGAAGGUGGGGAUGACGUCAAGUCCUCAUGGCCCUUAUGGGUAGGGCUUCACACGUCAUACAAUGGUCGGUACAAAGGGUUGCCAAGCCGCGAGGCGGAGCCAAUCCCAGAAAGCCGAUCGUAGUCCGGAUUGCAGGCUGCAACUCGCCUGCAUGAAGUCGGAAUCGCUAGUAAUCGUGGAUCAGCAUGUCACGGUGAAUACGUUCCCGGGUCUUGUACACACCGCCCGUCACACCAUGGGAGCGGGUUCCGCCAGAAGUAGGUAGCCUAACCGCAAGGGGGGCGCUUACCACGGCGGGGUUCGUGACUGGGGUGAAGUCGAAACAAGGUAGCCGUAGGGGAACCUGCGGCUG